GUUUGGGUGUAGCAGUGGUCCCUGUGAUAGUAAAUCUGCCUGGAACGGGAGUACCCUCGGAGGUUCCCGAUUCAUCUGUCUCGCCAUAGGGAACCAGGGUCGCCGGGGCCAGAACGGGAGGAUGGCGAUGACCUCUACCUUCUCCUUCUGAAUCUUCUUCAGAGUUGGGAAUAUGAGAGGUAUAGGAGGGAACACAUAGGCCAGAGUGAACUUCCAAGGUUGGGAUAGAGCAUCCUGUCCCCUGGCUCUGUGAUCGACCAGUCUCGAGAAGAAGGCUU
Non-coding RNA from Pelobates cultripes (western spadefoot toad), 278 nucleotides. NCBI's taxonomy places the organism in Eukaryota, Metazoa, Chordata, Amphibia, Anura, Pelobatidae. The record is from the annotation of a GenBank genome assembly.